AUUGGCCUGUGGAAAAAAAUGUAGUAAGAAACACUACAUUUUUUCAGUAGGCCGAUUU
Molecule: microRNA precursor, 58 nt
Organism: Oreochromis aureus
Lineage: Eukaryota; Metazoa; Chordata; Actinopteri; Cichliformes; Cichlidae
Source: Ensembl